Molecule: transfer RNA, 75 nt
Filed under: Gammaproteobacteria bacterium
Lineage: Bacteria; Pseudomonadati; Pseudomonadota; Gammaproteobacteria
Description: tRNA-His
Rfam family: tRNA
About the family: Transfer RNA (tRNA) molecules are approximately 80 nucleotides in length. Their secondary structure includes four short double-helical elements and three loops (D, anti-codon, and T loops). Further hydrogen bonds mediate the characteristic L-shaped molecular structure. tRNAs have two regions of fundamental functional importance: the anti-codon, which is responsible for specific mRNA codon recognition, and the 3' end, to which the tRNAs corresponding amino acid is attached (by aminoacyl-tRNA synthetases). tRNAs cope with the degeneracy of the genetic code in two manners: having more than one tRNA (with a specific anti-codon) for a particular amino acid; and 'wobble' base-pairing, i.e. permitting non-standard base-pairing at the 3rd anti-codon position.
Source: RNAcentral
GUGAGCGUAGCUCAGCGGUAGAGCCCCGGAUUGUGGCUCCGGUGGUCGUGGGUUCGACUCCCAUCGCUCACCCCA